Molecule: ribosomal RNA, 432 nt
Filed under: uncultured bacterium
Lineage: Bacteria
Description: bacterial SSU rRNA
Rfam family: Bacterial small subunit ribosomal RNA
Source: RNAcentral
AACGAACGCUGGCGGCAGGCUUAACACAUGCAAGUCGAGCGCCCCGCAAGGGGAGCGGCAGACGGGUGAGUAACGCGUGGGAAUCUACCCAAUACUACGGAAUAGCUCCGGGAAACUGGAAUUAAUACCGUAUGUGCCCGACAGGGGAAAGAUUUAUCGGUAUUGGAUGAGCCCGCGUUGGAUUAGCUAGUUGGUGGGGUAAUGGCCUACCAAGGCGACGAUCCAUAGCUGGUCUGAGAGGAUGAUCAGCCACACUGGGACUGAGACACGGCCCAGACUCCUACGGGAGGCAGCAGUGGGGAAUAUUGGACAAUGGGCGAAAGCCUGAUCCAGCCAUGCCGCGUGAGUGAUGAAGGCCUUAGGGUUGUAAAGCUCUUUCAGUGGGGAAGAUAAUGACGGUACCCACAGAAGAAGCCCCGGCUAACUUCGUGC